This 300-nucleotide long non-coding RNA is filed under the name Amborella trichopoda. Its description in RNAcentral is "long non-coding RNA (ATRI_LNC004291)". Lineage: Eukaryota; Viridiplantae; Streptophyta; Magnoliopsida; Amborellales; Amborellaceae. The record is from RNAcentral.
AAUUUUGAGCUUGGUCAAUGAAAUAAAUGUAGUUACCCAAUUUCACAUGACCACUUUGUACCAAAAGUAAAUAGUCUAAUUAUAUAUUUUCCCUUAUGAAAAAAGUAAACUUUUCCAGAAAACACUUCGAGUAUGAGAAAUAUCUAAGAUGGCUUUAAAAUUUGUAUCUACCGUUGAUUAUGAAAUUUGUAUCUCAAAAAAUGGUAUAUAUUUUAUCGACCUGUGAGAUAUAUGUAUGAGGGAGCACUAACUAGUGUGCGGGCAACUAGUGGGGAGAAGUGAGUUCCCAAUGACAGAGGG